GCGGCAACAGCUCAAAUUUGAAAUCUGGUCCCCCCGCGGGGCCCGAGUUGUAAUUUGAAGAGGAUGCUUCUGGCAAGGUGCCGUCCGAGUUCCCUGGAACGGGACGCCGCAGAGGGUGAGAGCCCCGUACGGUCGGACGCCGAGCCUCUGUGAAGCUCCUUCGACGAGUCGAGUAGUUUGGGAAUGCUGCUCAAAAUGGGAGGUAAACCCCUUCUAAAGCUAAAUACCGGCCAGAGACCGAUAGCGCACAAGUAGAGUGAUCGAAAGAUGAAAAGCACUUUGAAAAGAGAGUUAAAAAGCACGUGAAAUUGUUGAAAGGGAAGCGCUUGCGACCAGACUCGCGCCCGUCGGAUCAGCCGUCGCUCGUCGGCGGCGCACUCCGGCGGGCUCGGGCCAGCAUCAGUUCGCCUCGGGGGGAGAAAGGCGGCGGGAAUGUGGCUCUACGGAGUGUUAUAGCCCGCCGCGUAAUACCCCCGGGCGGACUGAGGACCGCGCGUAUGCAAGGAUGCUGGCGUAAUGGUCGUCAGCGACCCGUCUUGA
RNAcentral lists this ribosomal RNA (540 nucleotides) under Microascus gracilis. Its description in RNAcentral is "eukaryotic LSU rRNA". It matches the Rfam family "Eukaryotic large subunit ribosomal RNA", at positions 98 to 657 of the family's 3401-position model. The record is from RNAcentral. Lineage: Eukaryota; Fungi; Ascomycota; Sordariomycetes; Microascales; Microascaceae.